Molecule: ribosomal RNA, 690 nt
Filed under: uncultured Bacteroides sp.
Lineage: Bacteria; Pseudomonadati; Bacteroidota; Bacteroidia; Bacteroidales; Bacteroidaceae
Description: bacterial SSU rRNA
Rfam family: Bacterial small subunit ribosomal RNA
Source: RNAcentral
AACGCUAGCUACAGGCUUAACACAUGCAAGUCGAGGGGCAGCGCAGUGUAGCAAUACAUGGGCGGCGACCGGCGCACGGGUGCGUAACGCGUAUCCAACCUUCCCGUUACUCAGGGAUAGCCUUCCGAAAGGGAGAUUAAUACCUGAUGGUGUUUGAAUUCCGCAUGUUAUUCAAACUAAAGAUUCAUCGGUAACGGAUGGGGAUGCGUGACAUUAGAUAGUAGGCGGGGUAACGGCCCACCUAGUCUACGAUGUCUAGGGGUUCUGAGAGGAAGGUCCCCCACACUGGAACUGAGACACGGUCCAGACUCCUACGGGAGGCAGCAGUGAGGAAUAUUGGUCAAUGGUCGGAAGACUGAACCAGCCAAGUAGCGUGAAGGAUGAAGGUUCUAUGGAUUGUAAACUUCUUUUAUACGGGAAUAAAACCUCCCACGUGUGGGAGCUUGUAUGUACCGUAUGAAUAAGCAUCGGCUAACUCCGUGCCAGCAGCCGCGGUAAUACGGAGGAUGCGAGCGUUAUCCGGAUUUAUUGGGUUUAAAGGGAGCGUAGACGGGAUGUUAAGUCAGUUGUGAAAGGCUGCGGCUCAACCGCAGCACUGCAGUUGAUACUGGCGUCCUUGAGUGCGGUUGAGGUAUGUGGAAUUCGUGGUGUAGCGGUGAAAUGCUUAGAUAUCACGAAGAACUCCGAUUG